UACGAGGGGGGCAAGUGUUGUUCGGAAUUACUGGGCGUAAAGCGCGCGUAGGCGGACCUGCAAGUCGGGGGUGAAAGCCCGAGGCUCAACCUCGGAACUGCCUUCGAUACUGCGGGUCUCGAGUCCGGGAGAGGUGAGUGGAAUUCCUAGUGUAGAGGUGAAAUUCGUAGAUAUUAGGAAGAACACCAGUGGCGAAGGCGGCUCACUGGCCCGGUACUGACGCUGAGGCGCGAAAGCGUGGGGAGCAAACAGG
Molecule: ribosomal RNA, 253 nt
Filed under: uncultured bacterium
Lineage: Bacteria
Description: partial 16S ribosomal RNA
Rfam family: Bacterial small subunit ribosomal RNA
Source: RNAcentral